UCCCGGCCCUCUGCCUCCUCUCCCACAACGCCGGGCCUGUCCCAAGUGAACAGAAGGAGAAAGACAGGGCUUUGGAGUCAGAUUCGCUGGGUUCCAGCUCAGAACUCUGCUUUUUUAGCUGGGUGGUCUUCUGUGUUCCGGUCUGCGUAAUGAAGAGACCCUCUCUCAUGCUAUCGCAGUCAGGUCCCCCAACUGCUCUUUCUGGCUGAACUUCCCAGAAGACCUCGGUCACGAAAUGAGAGCCACAGUGCCUGGCCCAGCUUCCAUGGGGAAGGUGACAUCAUGAGGCUUAAUGGAAUUACAGCUCACUCCAUCAGCUAAUCCUCAACCCUGGAAUCCACCCUCUCUGGCCCUUCCUGGCCUCCCCUCUGUGAUCCCAGGUAGGUGUGAAUGGAGCCUCGAUGCCCCUACUUCCGGCUGACUUCACUCCACCCCAUCCUCCAGCUUCUGAGAUACUAGAGGAUUAAAGCUGGACCCACAGAGGAUGAGGAUCACCUCUACCAUCACCCAGGGAGGCUCCAAGUGCGGCAUGAGUGGACCCAAAGCAGAGCUCUUAAAGAAGCCGAGUCAUUGAAACACAGUGCAAGAGUCAAAUAGCCCAUUUCCAGUGUGAAGACACUAAGAGACACCUCAUGUUAAAAAUGGGAAGCUUGCUGGUACCCCUCACACCGCAUUCGUGGAUGAUAAAUGACGUCAAGUGUUUAGCAAGGGUUUGACAUAUUCUAAGCAUUCAAUCAGUGGUUGUUGCGGUUGUUCAGUUGCUAAGUCAUGUCUUACUCUGUGACCCCGUGAACUGCAGCAUGCCAGGCUUCCUUGUCCUUCACCAUCU
RNAcentral lists this long non-coding RNA (829 nucleotides) under Bos mutus (wild yak). Its description in RNAcentral is "lncRNA (ENSBMUG00000006511.1)". Lineage: Eukaryota; Metazoa; Chordata; Mammalia; Artiodactyla; Bovidae. The record is from RNAcentral.